GAAUUCACUUUAUGUGGAUCAGAUUUUCCGAUUGAGAUUAGUCACUAAUAAACAGCGGCGAAAACUUCAUUUAAUAACAUGGUAACGAAAAAAAAAACUUAUAGUCAAUGACCAUGCUUUAGCACAUCAUGAAUGAUUAAGUGAUGGGCAUGUCCUUGAUUAAGAUAAUUGAUUUACACAUUUUAAUGUUACAUAUAGCAUGAUAAUAGUAGAGUACCUGCGUCAAAAAAAAAAAAAAAAUAGUAGAGUACCUAUAUAAAAACAUUAGAUUAAUUAGUUUUUAUUUUGAUGAUAUAAAAACAUUAGACUUUUGGUUCUUAUAGAACCAAGCUAGAUGCAUAUGUUUUGAUCUUCACUUAAUUAACUUGAUUGGUACUCUUCUCCACCCAACGAUUUGGUUUGCUUACUUCACUGAAGGCUUAGAAACUUCAACCUACAUUACAAAAACAAUAUUUGUAGAUUUUAUGGUGUGUGAGUAAAUGAAACAGGGCAAAUGAAUAAAUAAUAAAACUAUAUAUUCUAAAUUAUAAU
This 531-nucleotide long non-coding RNA is filed under the name Trifolium pratense (red clover). RNAcentral describes it as "long non-coding RNA (TPRA_LNC009704)". The record is from RNAcentral. Lineage: Eukaryota; Viridiplantae; Streptophyta; Magnoliopsida; Fabales; Fabaceae.